This 223-nucleotide ribosomal RNA is filed under the name uncultured bacterium. RNAcentral's name for it is "partial 16S ribosomal RNA". It matches the Rfam family "Bacterial small subunit ribosomal RNA", at positions 328 to 539 of the family's 1533-position model. The record is from RNAcentral.
ACGCUCGACACCUACUGGAGGCAGCAGUAGGGAAUCUUCCACAAUGGACGCAAGUCUGAUGGAGCAACGCCGCGUGAGUGAAGAAGGUUUUCGGAUCGUAAAGCUCUGUUGUUGGUGAAGAAGGAUAGAGGUAGUAACUGGCCUUUAUUUGACGGUAAUCAACCAGAAAGUCACGGCUAACUACGCGCCAGUAGCCGCGGUAAUCUGAGCGGGCUGGCAAGGC